CCUACGGGCGGCAGCAGUGAGGAAUAUUGGUCAAUGGCCGAGAGGCUGAACCAGCCAAGUAGCGUGAAGGAUGACUGCCCUAUGGGUUGUAAACUUCUUUUAUAUGGGAAUAAAGUGAUCCACGUGUGGGUUUUUGUAUGUACCAUAUGAAUAAGGAUCGGCUAACUCCGUGCCAGCAGCCGCGGUAAUACGGAGGAUCCGAGCGUUAUCCGGAUUUAUUGGGUUUAAAGGGAGCGUAGGUGGUUUGUUAAGUCAGUUGUGAAAGUUUGCGGCUCAACCGUAAAAUUGCAGUUGAAACUGGCAGUCUUGAGUACGUUAGAGGUGGGCGGAAUGCGUGGUGUAGCGGUGAAAUGCUUAGAUAUCACGAAGAACUCCGAUUGCGAAGGCAGCUUACUGGACUGCAACUGACACUGAGGCUCGAAAGUGUGGGUAUCAAACAGGAUUAGAUACCCCUGUAGUC
This 460-nucleotide ribosomal RNA is filed under the name uncultured bacterium. RNAcentral's name for it is "partial 16S ribosomal RNA". It matches the Rfam family "Bacterial small subunit ribosomal RNA", at positions 338 to 795 of the family's 1533-position model. The record is from RNAcentral.